This 463-nucleotide ribosomal RNA is filed under the name uncultured bacterium. RNAcentral's name for it is "partial 16S ribosomal RNA". It matches the Rfam family "Bacterial small subunit ribosomal RNA", at positions 339 to 795 of the family's 1533-position model. The record is from RNAcentral.
CUACGGGGGGCAGCAGUGGGGAAUAUUGCACAAUGGGCGCAAGCCUGAUGCAGCCAUGCCGCGUGUAUGAAGAAGGCCUUCGGGUUGUAAAGUACUUUCAGCGGGGAGGAAGGGAGUAAAGUUAAUACCUUUGCUCAUUGACGUUACCCGCAGAAGAAGCACCGGCUAACUCCGUGCCAGCAGCCGCGGUAAUACGGAGGGUGCAAGCGUUAAUCGGAAUUACUGGGCGUAAAGCGCACGCAGGCGGUUGUUAAGUCAGAUGUGAAAUCCCCGGGCUCAACCUGGGAACUGCAUCGGAUACUGGCAAGCUUGAGGCUCGUAGAGGGGGGUAGAAUUCCAGGUGUAGCGGUGAAAUGCGUAGAGAUCUGGAGGAAUACCGGUGGCGAAGGCGGCCCCCUGGACGAAGACUGACGCUCAGGUGCGAAAGCGUGGGGAGCAAACAGGAUUAGAUACCCUAGUAGUC